RNAcentral lists this ribosomal RNA (460 nucleotides) under uncultured bacterium. Its description in RNAcentral is "partial 16S ribosomal RNA". It matches the Rfam family "Bacterial small subunit ribosomal RNA", at positions 338 to 795 of the family's 1533-position model. The record is from RNAcentral.
CCUACGGGUGGCAGCAGUGAGGAAUAUUGGUCAAUGGACGCAAGUCUGAACCAGCCAUGCCGCGUGCAGGACGACGGUUCUAUGAGUUGUAAACUUCUUUUGUACGAGGGCAAACUCAGAUACGCGAACCUGACUGAAAGUAUCGGACGAACAAGGAUCGGCUAACUCCGUGCCAGCAGCCGCGGUAAUACGGAGGAUUCAAGCGUUAUCCGGAUUGAUUGGGUUUAAAGGGAGCGUAGGCAGCCUGUUAAGCGUGCUGUGAAAUGCCGGGGCUCAACCCGGGCCGUGCAGCGGGAACUGGCGUGCUUGAGAGCGCGGGAGGCAGGCGGAAUUCGUAGUGUAGCGGUGAAAUGCGUAGAUAUGGCGAAGAACCCCGAUUGCGAAGGCAGCUUGCUGGAGCGGAACUGACGCUGAUGCACGAAAGCGAGGGUAUCGAACAGGAUUAGAUACCCCGGUAGUC